UUCUUUUUUCAACAGUAGCAGCAAUUACGUUCUCUAAAAUUCACUCCCAAACCCUAAACCUCAUAGCAUACAGAGGUUCGCUUUUGGUCAGUUUCUCCGCCAUCGCAGUAGCACCCAUAGCUUCGCUAGGGGGGGCAAAACCAAUCGUAGUCUCUGAAGUCCAAAGGGAGGUAUCAUCUUUUAUAGAAGGGGGGCAAAACCAAGAAAAUUUCAGAUUGGUGACUGUGACAGCACUUGGCUUAAUUGUUUUGGUUGACAGUUUUUCCUCUUGAUGUGGCAAAAACUUUAAUUCAGACAAACCCUGAUAAAAAUUGUCCAAGAAAUCCUUUUUGGGUCUUGAGUUCAGGCUGGAUUCAAGGGAUGCUAUACAGGUUUGGGUCCUACUGUAAGUCGAGCAUUUCCUGCUAAUGCUGCAACAAUUGUCGCAUGGGAGCUAGCAUUGAAAAUGCUAGGCAUUAAGCAUGACUGAGAGUCUACCUAAUUGCGGAUAAUACUACAAAGUUCAGACAUUGGCAAAUGGUCAUUAUUCUGCCUAAGGAAAACCUAGUUGUCU
Long non-coding RNA from Glycine soja, 553 nucleotides. RefSeq lists it as uncharacterized. Lineage: Eukaryota; Viridiplantae; Streptophyta; Magnoliopsida; Fabales; Fabaceae. The record is from RefSeq and is a predicted model, not a curated record. The transcript is spliced from 6 exons.